AAUGCAUAGUCGAAAAAAACCAUCAAGCGAGCCGGACGCGUAUCUCUUUGUAACGGAUCUCGGAACGCCGUGGGAGUCGGAAAGUCGGAAAAUCGCUAGACGCGUGUUCGCUGCGUUGGUGUGCGUGCGAUUGCAUGUGUGCGUGUGUGUGUGGGUGCGAGCGGGUGAGCGAAUAAAUAAAUAAAUAAAUCGCCAAGUCGGGCCUGGAAAAUGAGUGCGCUAAUCAAAUAAUAUGCCCCCGUUUCUGGCCAAUUGAGAAUUGUGGCUAAACAGCAAAUUCGACGGGAGUUCAAAAAAACUCAACCCAGUGAAAAAACAAAAAAAAAUCAUUGAAAAAGUUCGUUUUUAUUUUCGCUUUUAAUUUGUUAACGAAAAAAUAUUGGAUAAAAUAAAAAAUAAAGAAAAAAGUGUACGUGACAAGAGCCCAAAAAAAUUGCAACACAAAAUAGCGAAAAUAAUUCGUGCGUGCGAAAAAGAGCUGCGAAGUUUUAUGGCCCAUGCAAAAAGUGCUAAAUUUGUAAAUGGCAUGGAAAGUGCAAAGCUCUGAUUAAAAAGCCGCGAAGAGUGGAGAGCUCGAGGUGCCCAGAAACGCAACCAACUACUGCCAAAAGGAAAUUAUUAUUAAAAAAUAAAUAAACCCAAACAACGACCUCCGAACAACCAAGCAAACAGAAAUUUUGUGCUAAUUCUGUUUAAUCGAACACCAUCCACGUUGGAUCCCCAUCGCAUAUAAUGUCAUCAAAAUGUGCUUUCAACAUUGUAUUCGUAUCGAUAAUUUUCAUCAUCAUCGUAAAUGGUUACGCAAAAGAUAUUUCUGGAGUUAAAAGAGGUCAUGAACGACUUAACGAAUACAUAUCCCACUAUGAAACACUCAACUAUGAUCACGAGCACAUACGAGCUAGUCACAAUAGAGCGCGACGAUCAGUGACCAAAGAUCAUUAUGUACAUUUAAAGUUUGCAUCACAUGGAAGAGACUUCCAUCUUAGAUUAAAACGUGAUUUAAAUACAUUUAGCAAUAAGUUAGACUUUUAUGAUAGCAAAGGUCCCAUUGAUGUCUCCACGGAUCAUAUCUAUGAGGGCGAAGUGAUAGGGGAUCGUAAUAGUUAUGUAUUUGGUUCCAUACACAAUGGGGUAUUCGAGGGUAAAAUUAUAACGGAACGUGAUGCCUAUUAUGUUGAACAUGCCAAACAUUAUUUCCCCACAAAUCGCACGGCGACAACAACACCACCAAUAUCCUCGACGACGUCGGCUCCAAGGAGCAUCAUCAGCAGCACAAAAAACACACAACCAACGCGGCCUUUGGCCCGAAAUAACAAUAACAACAACAACAACAGAACUGCCGUUGAUAGUAAGACCGAAAACUUCAUAAAGAAAAUUGCUGAAUCCACAGCGACGACCCAGCAGCAGCUCCCAGAGCAUUCCGAUUCCUCGUCGUCGUCGUCGUCGACAACAACAUUCCCACCCACAUCGGAUAAUUCCGAGGACGAAAAGAAGGAGCAGGAGCAUAAUGCCGAGGACGAACUUGAUUUUCACUCCAUUAUCUACAAGGAGUCACAUGUCGAGGACGCCUACGAAAAUGUGCGCGAAGGUCACGUGGCCGGCUGCGGCAUCACGGAUGAGGUCUCCGAAUGGAUGGAGAACAUACAAAAUUCAGCCGUCGAAGAGCUGCCGGAGCCCAUGUCAAAGGACUACCAAAAGCUCCACCGGAAGCAGCUGCACAAAAAGUCCGCCCCACAGCAGCAGCAGCAACAGCAGCCCCAUCCGCCCAAGAAGUACAUCAGUGGCGAUGAGGACUUCAAGUACCCCCAUCAGAAGUACACGAAAGAGGCGAACUUCGCCGCCGAGGGUGCAUUCUACGAUCCUUCGACCGGACGUCGUCUGGGCUCAUCCGCCAACGUGGCCGACUGGCAUCAGCUCGUCCACGAGCGCGUCCGUCGGGCCACCGACAAUGGAGGCGGAGGUGGAGCCGGGGGCUCAUCCGGUGGAUCUGGACGCGGUCGCGAGGACAACAAGAAUACCUGUUCGCUCUACAUUCAAACGGAUCCAUUGAUUUGGCGCCACAUACGCGAGGGCAUUGCCGACCAUGAUCGUGGGCGCAAGUACGAGGUGGACGAGAAAACGCGCGAGGAAAUCACAUCGCUGAUUGCACAUCACGUGACGGCCGUUAAUUACAUUUACCGCAACACAAAGUUCGACGGACGCACCGAGCAUCGCAACAUACGCUUUGAGGUGCAACGAAUUAAGAUCGAUGACGAUUCGGCUUGUCGCAAUUCCUAUAACGGCCCCCACAAUGCCUUUUGCAAUGAGCACAUGGAUGUCUCGAACUUCUUGAAUCUCCAUUCCCUGGAAGAUCACUCGGACUUUUGCCUGGCCUAUGUGUUUACCUACAGAGAUUUCACUGGCGGUACUUUGGGACUGGCCUGGGUGGCGAGCGCUUCGGGAGCCUCGGGAGGAAUUUGUGAAAAAUACAAGACUUACACGGAGACAGUGGGCGGACAGUAUCAGAGCACCAAGAGAUCCCUUAAUACGGGCAUUAUUACCUUUGUUAAUUACAAUAGCCGGGUGCCACCGAAGGUUUCCCAGUUAACUCUGGCCCACGAAAUAGGUCAUAACUUUGGAUCACCUCACGACUACCCGCAGGAGUGUCGCCCUGGAGGCCUUAAUGGCAACUACAUUAUGUUUGCCAGUGCCACCUCCGGUGAUAGGCCAAACAAUUCGAAGUUCUCGCCCUGCUCCAUUAGGAACAUCUCAAACGUUCUGGACGUCCUCGUGGGCAACUCAAAAAGGGACUGCUUCAAGGCCUCGGAGGGAGCCUUCUGCGGCAACAAGAUCGUAGAGUCUGGCGAGGAAUGCGACUGUGGAUUUAACGAGGAGGAGUGCAAGGACAAGUGCUGCUAUCCGCGUCUCAUCAGCGAAUACGAUCAAUCGCUGAACUCCAGUGCCAAGGGUUGUACGCGCCGUGCCAAGACACAGUGCUCGCCAUCGCAGGGUCCUUGCUGUCUGUCCAACUCGUGCACCUUUGUGCCCACGAGCUACCACCAGAAGUGCAAGGAGGAGACGGAAUGCAGCUGGUCGAGCACCUGCAACGGAACCACCGCCGAGUGUCCGGAGCCGCGGCAUCGCGAUGACAAGACAAUGUGCAACAAUGGAACGGCGCUGUGCAUCCGCGGCGAAUGCAGUGGAUCGCCCUGCCUGCUCUGGAAUAUGACCAAGUGCUUCCUCACCUCGACGACGCUGCCGCAUGUGAAUAAGCGCAAACUGUGCGACUUGGCCUGUCAGGAUGGCAACGACACCACCACUUGCCGCAGCACCAGCGAGUUUGCGGAUAAAUAUAAUAUUCAAAAGGGUGGCAUUAGCCUGCAGCCCGGUUCGCCGUGCGACAACUUCCAGGGCUACUGCGAUGUGUUCCUCAAGUGUCGCGCCGUCGACGCCGAUGGGCCGCUGGUGCGGCUGAAGAAUCUGCUGCUCAACCGCGAGACCCUACAGACGGUCGCCGAGUGGAUCGUGGACAACUGGUAUCUGGUCGUUCUGAUGGGCGUGGCCUUCAUCGUGGUCAUGGGCUCGUUCAUUAAGUGCUGUGCCGUUCACACGCCCAGUUCGAAUCCGAAGAAGCGGCGAGCUCGUCGCAUCAGCGAAACGCUGAGAGCUCCCAUGAAUACGUUGCGAAGAAUGCAACGUCAUCCCAAUCAGCGAGGAGCAGGUCCUCGCAGCAUCCCGCCACCGGCCCAUGAGGCGCAGCACUAUCCACGUAGCGGUGGCGGCGGCGGAGGAGGAGGAGGUCGUAGCCAUGGUGGCUCCCGUUCGCACCACCAAUCACAUCCGCACGACUGGGAUCGCCAGCAGGGUGGUCACUCGAUCGUUCCCCUGCCCACCGGUGGCAGCCAUUCGAGUCGCAACUCGGCGGCGAAUCAGGCGAGAAGAAGUGAUGGCCGGGGCCCACGAUCCACCAGCAGUGGGCGACCACAGGCGACGGCGGCCAGCGGAAGCAGCGGAGGAGCGGCGCGAUCACAUGGCGGGUAUGGAGCCGCCGAGCAGGCGAUACCGGGUUCCAUUGGUGGUGGUGUCCAGGCGGCCAUUAGCAGCGGCGGUGUGGUGGCUCGGGCCCAGCUGCCGCUGCCAUUGCCGCCGCCAAAUGCACAGCAGCAAUUGCAACAGCACCAACAACAACAACAUCUACAACUUCAGCAGCCGGCAAUUUCGCCGCAGCAACAGCCACAGCAAGCGUUCUACACGCCGAAAGAACUACCACCACGCAAUAAGUCCCGAUCAUCACGUACCAACAACACCACCUCCAACAACACCACAACCACCAACUCAUCCACCGCGGCAGCCGGCAGUGGGUCGGGAUCGGGGGCGGGCAGUAGUAGUAAGAGCAAGAGCGGGAAAAGUGCCAAAGCCAAAGACUCAAAGUCGCAAAAGUCGCAACAGCAGACCAACAACAGCAGUCGCAGCAGCAGCAAGGAGAAGGCCAUGAAGCCAGUGCGCCGGAAUAUCGUUUAUUAGGAGUGGAUCCAUCAUCCAUCAUUGCCAUACAGACAAACACUGAAAGACAGACUCCCCGAAUUCCCGAAAACCAAACAAAUACGCCCGCUGCUAGUCAUCGAUCCAUGAGUUGUUGCUUCCCAUCCACCACCAAAACACGAAAAUCAAAAGAAAUCAAAAUGAUAUUUCAUUUAAUCGAAGCAAUUGGCGUCGCGCCGCCGCCGCUACAAGUAAGCUUUAGUCGGCCGACAUCGUUGCACGAGCAACAGCAGCAGCAACAUCUUCUGCAGCAGCAGC
This is an RNA transcript of Drosophila takahashii, 4779 nucleotides long. It is a transcript of the gene named zinc-dependent metalloprotease kuz, with no coding region annotated. The record is from RefSeq and is a predicted model, not a curated record. NCBI's taxonomy places the organism in Eukaryota, Metazoa, Arthropoda, Insecta, Diptera, Drosophilidae.